This 510-nucleotide ribosomal RNA is filed under the name uncultured bacterium. RNAcentral describes it as "bacterial SSU rRNA". It matches the Rfam family "Bacterial small subunit ribosomal RNA", at positions 28 to 530 of the family's 1533-position model. The record is from RNAcentral.
GACGAACGCUGGCGGCGUGGAUUAGGCAUGCAAGUCGAACGGUAUCAUCCUUUCGGGGGUGAGAGAGUGGCGAACUGGUGAGUAACACGUAGGUUAUCUACCCUCAAGACGGGGACAACCCAGGGAAACUUGGGCUAAUACCGGAUGUGAGCAACUUUUAGUUGUUUGAAAGGUGGCGUAAGCUGUCGCUUGGGGAUGAGCCUGCGUCCUAUUAGUUAGUUGGUGAGGUAACGGCUCACCUAGGCAAUGAUAGGUAGGCGGCCUUAACGGGUGGUCGCCCACACUGGGAUUGAGAUACGGCCCAGACUCCUACGGGAGGCAGCAGUCGAGAAUAGUCUACAAUGGUCGGAAGACUGAUAGUGCGACGCCGCGUGAACGAUGAAUCCCUUCGGGUGUAAAGUUCUUUUAUAUGUGAGCAGUGCUUCUUAUAUUAACAGUAUGGGGAGAGAGAUAUUAGCAUAUGAAUAAGCAACGGCUAAACUCCGUGCCAGCAGCCGCGGUAAAACUCGU